UACGUAGGUCCCGAGCGUUAUCCGGAUUUAUUGGGCGUAAAGCGAGCGCAGGCGGUUAGAUAAGUCUGAAGUUAAAGGCUGUGGCUUAACCAUAGUACGCUUUGGAAACUGUUUAACUUGAGUGCAGAAGGGGAGAGUGGAAUUCCAUGUGUAGCGGUGAAAUGCGUAGAUAUAUGGAGGAACACCGGUGGCGAAAGCGGCUCUCUGGUCUGUAACUGACGCUGAGGCUCGAAAGCGUGGGGAGCAAACAGGA
RNAcentral lists this ribosomal RNA (253 nucleotides) under uncultured Streptococcaceae bacterium. RNAcentral's name for it is "partial 16S ribosomal RNA". It matches the Rfam family "Bacterial small subunit ribosomal RNA", at positions 524 to 777 of the family's 1533-position model. Lineage: Bacteria; Bacillati; Bacillota; Bacilli; Lactobacillales; Streptococcaceae. The record is from RNAcentral.